RNAcentral lists this ribosomal RNA (488 nucleotides) under uncultured bacterium. RNAcentral describes it as "bacterial SSU rRNA". It matches the Rfam family "Bacterial small subunit ribosomal RNA", at positions 28 to 526 of the family's 1533-position model. The record is from RNAcentral.
GACGAACGCUGGCGGCGUGCUUAACACAUGCAAGUCGAACGAGGUCCAUGGAGUAGCAAUACUCCGGAAGACCUAGUGGCGAACGGGUGCGUAACACGUGAGGAACUUGUCCCGGUCUCUGGGAUAACAGUUGGAAACGACUGCUAAUACCGGAUGACGUCGGAGCGUCGCAUGGCGCGCUGACGAAAGGGUUACCGGAUCGGGAGAGCCUCGCGGCCUAUCAGCUUGUUGGUGGGGUAAUGGCCUACCAAGGCAUCGACGGGUAGCCGGUCUGAGAGGAUGAUCAGCCACACUGGGACUGAGACACGGCCCAGACUCCUACGGGAGGCAGCAGUGGGGAAUCUUGCGCAAUGGGCGAAAGCCUGACGCAGCAACGCCGCGUGCGGGAAGAAGGCUCUCGGGUUGUAAACCGCUUUCAGCAGGAACGAAAAUGACGGUACUUGCAGAAGAAGGUGCGGCCAACUACGUGCCAGCAGCCGCGGUAAAGU